Molecule: long non-coding RNA, 259 nt
Filed under: Eutrema salsugineum
Lineage: Eukaryota; Viridiplantae; Streptophyta; Magnoliopsida; Brassicales; Brassicaceae
Description: long non-coding RNA (ESAL_LNC000497)
Source: RNAcentral
UGUUUAUUCCUCCUUAUGAAUUUAUUUUGUCUUUAUCCACUUUCCUUCAUUUCGCGUCAGCCAUUUCUUCUUCUCUGCAACCUAAAGCUCUGUCACCUAAUCAUCUUUUCUUUGUCAUAAUUUUCAUUUCCUCUUCAUUUCUCAUUCGUGCAAUUUCCUCUACUUCCAUCUAAGAUCAUUUUCGACCAAUCCAUUCUCCUCUCUUUCUUAUUUAAGUCUCCUUAGCAAUUCUUCUCAUCCCUGUUGCAACCAUUGUCCC